RNAcentral lists this long non-coding RNA (273 nucleotides) under Takifugu rubripes (torafugu). RNAcentral describes it as "lncRNA (ENSTRUG00000028043.1)". The record is from RNAcentral. Lineage: Eukaryota; Metazoa; Chordata; Actinopteri; Tetraodontiformes; Tetraodontidae.
AUUUAAAAUUAAAUUAUUUGCUUCCAGUUUAAUUGACACUAAUAUUACGCGCCUUGUCAUUUAAAGUGGAUCUUUUAUCGCUGAACGUCUGGGAAACAACAACACUUCCUCGAAUCGCCACUAGUGGCCGCUGUUGUCCAGCUGAAGGUGCGAGCUCGUGAUAAGGUUCUGCCCCGAGGAGGUGAAGAUAUGACCAUGGAGACCAGCUCACAGGGAGGGAGACACUACACCAGUUAAAUAUUCAGCCCGGGGCCGCAUCCAGUUUGGCCUCCA